Molecule: long non-coding RNA, 705 nt
Filed under: Apteryx haastii (Great spotted kiwi)
Lineage: Eukaryota; Metazoa; Chordata; Aves; Apterygiformes; Apterygidae
Description: lncRNA (ENSAHAG00000007320.1)
Source: RNAcentral
AUGCAUGCCUGGCCGCGGGCUGCAAAGCCAGGGUCUUGGUCAGGCCUCCACUGUGCAGACAAGGUGCCCACCUGGGUGAGAGUGCGCCAGAGCCCAUCUCCGAGGGAGGACGGGCAGGCCUCAGGCAGAACAUGCUGGGGCCCUUGGGUGGGAGAUGCAUGGGAAGCAGGAAAGGGAUGGGAAGAGACACAUGCGUACAUUGCCUGGGGAGCAGGCAGCCUCUGCAGCCUUUGGGAUAGUCUUGUUGAGAAAGGCGGGAUGACUCUGCACGUCCUGACCUUGCCCACCCCUUCCAUGUUGUGCCCAGGUCCUUCUGCCGGGAACAUCUCCCGGAGCAAAGAGUGCAGGCACAGCUGGAUGGGGAGACCUUCUGCCUCAUUUGUCUGGAGCCCGUGGAGGAAAAGCUCUCCCACCACACUCUGGUGUGCCCUGCGUGUACGCACGCAUGGUUCCACCAGGGCUGCAUCCAGGCCAUGGCAGCUGCUGCUUUGCUCCUCCUGUGCUGCCAAAGGCACGCACCACCGCUGCUCCGCCUUGAGGCCCACCACAGCCACAUGGGAGUGUGUUGACUGUGCGGGCCUGGGCACUGCCUCCAGCGCGCAGUCGGGGACGGCCAGCUCCAGCACCAGCAGCCAAGCAGCAUCGUCUCCCAGCUCCCAGGCUCCUGCGAGCAGCAGACGGUCAGGCCAGACAGGGCCAGAGUGA